AUUCGCUAUAAAUUUUCAAGUUUACAAGAAGUUUGGAGAUUUGCUAGUGGUUUGCAGAUUUGCUAGAGGUUUGCAGAUUCGCUAGAGGUUUGCAGAUUCGCUAGAGGUUUGCAGAUUCGCUAGAGGUUUGCAGAUUCGCUAGAGGUUUGCAGAUU
RNAcentral lists this long non-coding RNA (155 nucleotides) under Dermacentor andersoni. RNAcentral describes it as "uncharacterized LOC126517932". The record is from RNAcentral. Lineage: Eukaryota; Metazoa; Arthropoda; Arachnida; Ixodida; Ixodidae.